Molecule: non-coding RNA, 3304 nt
Organism: Lolium perenne
Lineage: Eukaryota; Viridiplantae; Streptophyta; Magnoliopsida; Poales; Poaceae
Source: RefSeq, a predicted model, not a curated record
GCCGCCAAACUCCUCAUUGGUUAUGUCGCCGCCAUCAUGGGGCGUAGCACAGGCCGGCGGGAGGGCGACAGGCGGUCGCGGCUGCGCUACGUAUUUCCUUCGUGUGCUCUGGUGACCCCUCCGCGCUGCCACACUCCACAGCCAAGCUGCACCGAAGGGAGACACCUAGGUGUCGCCUCAUAGAACGACCGGAACGCCAACCCGAGGUGUGUCAUUGUCGAUUUCCUCUCUGCCACCCCCUGCCCUUCUCCCCCAGUGAUGCCCUCCACGACGUCCAGCUCGCGUUGAUGUUCUGCUUCCUAACGAGGAGAAGCAUCGGCCAGCGCUGUAGAAACGGGCAAGGAUGUUGAGCUCAGUUGGCCCGCUGCCAGCCCUCGCUCUUCUCCUACCACUCUCCUUCGCAUUCAUUCUCAUCUGCGCUCAAAAGGACAAGUACCAUCAGCGGUGAACAUGAGAAGGACGACCGCCGAGCAUGUUUCACCGACGGUACAAGAGUUUGUGCAAGACGUACCAUGUGUAUGCCCGAGGUAUCAAUUGUCUACGAAGACAAUCGUGAAAGAUUAAUUAAAGGUGAAUUCUUAGUUGUAUGUCAGACAAUUCCAAAAAUUGAAGUGAUCAAAUCUUAUGGUUAGUGUGGCUACUCCGUCAUUGGCCGAUUCUGGUCUUGCCAAAUCUACUAAUCCAGGGAUGUCCAUGUUAUUAUAUACUGUCAUGGCUAAUCUAAAAAAUACUGUCAUGAUUUUUUUUAGCAACAAUUAGUUUGAUUAUUUGAUGAACAAAUGAUUACAAGUUCAAUUCAUCUCAUUGAAGUAUUUUCUUGGUGUGAUUAGAAAGGAACUGAUCAUGCUCAUUUCCACUUUAUAUAUGACAGUCUAGGAUAAAUUAUGGAGAAUUAUGAUUUAUGAAUGACCAUAGCUGACAGUGAUGUAUUCAUAGGUGCUCUGUUCACCUGGACUGAAUGACGAUGGACAUUAUGAUAAUGAAGCUCUAGGUCCUUCAGGACCUCUCCUGUUCAAAAAAAAAAAAAAGAUUCUACCAGAUGUUCGAUUAUAUAAAUGAUGCAUCAUCAACUUCCAUGGACGCAUAUCACCUGCUUUUUAUUACUACUGUGUACUCAUUAUGAUACACUUCUACUUAUUCACCGUAAUGGCUAUUGCAUGUUUCUUAACUUGGCAUUCAUAGUUAUAUACUGCUUCCAUUGAGAGGAAAACAAAGGUAGUACGUACUACUGCUCCUAAAAUGAAUUUAGAUUUACUAUGUUGCUUUACCUUUUGGACUUUACAUUUCAUAGAAAUCUUUGUUUUAAAGGUAUGCAUGACAUUGUUACAUAUAGAUGGAAACAGCUGUGAAGAAAUGUGUAUUUUUUGUAGGUUCCUUAUGGUAUACAAUAUUUAGUGUCAAAGAUUUGAUAGGCCUUACAGUGUAUGUCUUCAGAACUGAAGCAGCGGCGACAGGGCAUGUACAGGGAGCAGCGGCAGCAGAAAAAAAUUGACAUGCUGGUGCAAUGGAACCAUAAGGAACCUACAAAAAAUGAUCAGGUACAGUGCAUCGAAACAUCUUCAGUUUCCGUUUGGUUAGAACUUUCCCCGUUCACAACAGGCCGUUCAAUUGUCUUUUUCUACUACAUCUUGAAUGUGAAAAUUAGUAGAAGCAUCAUAGUUAUAUUUACUUCAUGACUCGCAUCUUUUCAAAGCUGUUGUCAGUGUUUGGAUUCUGGUGUGUGGAGUCCAGAUUAUUUUUUCCAUAUUCAUUUCAAUUAUCUGAAUCUAAUAUCUGAUGACCUGUAACUCUGAAUUAAAUAUGUUCUCACAUAUUCGUGCGGAGCUCAUCAAACUGAUAUCUGAUUAUUCACCUGCAACAAUGAACUGAAUAUUCCAUUUUGUUUACGAACAGUAUGUUUCUGUACCAGCCUUGAUCAAUUCCUGUUAAACACAGUGAGCAACUACUUAACCUGUAUAUAAUAAGGAUAUAUCUUUUUUUUUUGGUAAAAAGAAGAUAUAUGGUUAAGUGAUAACAACAAUUCCCGAGUCAAAGCAAGUUCAAAGGUCAUUGAGUAGUUAUUUUCGUUUUGUAUGAAACACCCAGAUAUUUUUUUUCUAUUUUUGUAGGAGCCUCAACUUUUGAUUUACAGGAGUCAAACUAUAGUCAAGUAUACUCUAUAUCAUGCAUUAUUUGUAUUUCGACUAUGUUGUUUCUUGAUUAUUAGUUAAAAGGUAGAUAGUACAACUCAACUUCUUAUUCUAAUUUUUGAGAAAUGCAUUCGUUUGCUUAAUGCUCAUAGUGAUACGUCUCUCACUACCUGAUAUUGUCAUAGGCAAUAAAUGUUUUGUGAGUUGGCAAAUUAAUUCCACAACCUGCCGUCCCAAUGUUAUAAGUUCGACAACCAGCCUAUGGGCUUUAAAGAUAAUACUUGCAUCAUACAAAGUGCAAGCGAUGUAGAAAACAUAAUUUGCAAUCUAUUUUGUGCACAUUUGUUAAAAACAAAGUUUAUAUAAAAUAAGUUACUGGAUAAGUGAAUCAGGGCAUGCAUCAUAAAUUUGUACUGUCUUUGUUGCCUUGAUGUCCAUUUUUUUUCUUACCAUUGGAACACAAGGGUCGAGUCACAUCGAAGUUGGGAUAUAUAAUAGCAUUCAUGAAUCUUAGUCUUUCCAGAAAUGUAUAUAUACUUCAUAAAUUUCUUUCGUUUAAGGCUAAGGCUAAGUAGGACGAGUUACUUCAAUCAUCCCUCAAAUCCACCAGUGCCAUGAGAAGAUGGAAUGCAAAAGGAUCAAACUUACAUGACUGCUCUCACGGUCUCACUUGAACUCAAUGAAAUAUUAGGCAAGAUAGCUAAAUUGUGUAUUUUUCACUGCGCUAUGAAUAUUUCUAAUGACGCCGUUUGUCUUCUACAGUAGGCAUGGGAGAAAAGGAUUAGUUGAAGUCAAAUUUGUUCACUGCACCACUAAGUACAUUUGUUUAAUUUGUCACCGUGGGCCAGCCAUGUUGUGUUAUCACUUGCACAAUAACUCCUUAAACGAAUUAUCCAUUAUAGUUCCUAUUCAACACACAAAGUCCGCCUUAGAGGAGCUGAGCAGAUGGUAACGGUGGUGACUUCUUGAGUGGUGGAGAUCAGUGUCGCUGGCGACGACUUCUUCAGUGGUGGAGAUCCGAGUAGAGCUUACUUGCAAUAGAUGAAGCCGGCGUGCCAAACCAGGGAAACAAGGAACUCGGCCAUCUGUAGAGACAUAUGUUUCAGUCUGUAGUUACAUGUAUGUUCACUGCUAUGCCCAUGCUUCCAGUAUAUAUAUGCUGCCCAUGUUUUUUU